UUUAAUUGAAGAGUUUGAUCAUGGCUCAGAUUGAACGCUGGCGGCAGGCCUAACACAUGCAAGUCGAGCGGUAACAGAAAGUAGC
RNAcentral lists this ribosomal RNA (85 nucleotides) under Pseudoalteromonas sp. 5Ae-yellow. RNAcentral's name for it is "partial 16S ribosomal RNA". It matches the Rfam family "Bacterial small subunit ribosomal RNA", at positions 1 to 83 of the family's 1533-position model. Lineage: Bacteria; Pseudomonadati; Pseudomonadota; Gammaproteobacteria; Alteromonadales; Pseudoalteromonadaceae. RNAcentral also lists the same sequence under 2 other names. The record is from RNAcentral.